RNAcentral lists this ribosomal RNA (60 nucleotides) under Brachybacterium sp. AG952. Lineage: Bacteria; Bacillati; Actinomycetota; Actinomycetes; Micrococcales; Dermabacteraceae. The record is from RNAcentral.
CUCGAUCGCGCCGAUGGUACUGCACUCGGGAGGGUGUGGGAGAGUAGGUCGCCGCCGGAC